GUCUUGUUGAUUAUAAUUUCAAGUYUGACCUGCCCAGUGAGGAGUUUAACGGCCGCGGUAUCUUGACCGUGCAAAGGUAGCAUAAUCAUUAGUUUUUUAAUUGAAAGCUUGAAUGAAAGGUUUGAUGAAAAGAGGACUGUCUCUGUGAUAAUUUAUUAGAAUUUUAUUUUUAAGUUAAAAAGCUUAAAUUUAGGUAGAAGACGAGAAGACCCUGUAGAGUUUUAUAUUUUAUAAGUAUUAGGGUUUUUGGGUUGUGAAAAUUUUAUUAUUUGUAGAAAUAUUUUAUUGGGGUGAUGAAAAAAUUAAAUAAACUUUUUUUGUAUAGACACAUUUAUGUAUGAGUACAUGAUCCCAAUAUAUGGAUUAUAAGAUAAAAUUACCUUAGGGAUAACAGCGUAAUUUUUUUUAGAGCUCUUAUCGAAAAAAAAGAUUGCGACCUCGAUGUUGGAUUAAAAUUAAAUAUUGGUGUAGAAGCUAAUAGGUUAGGUCUGUUCGACCUUUGAAAUUUUACAUGAUCUGAGUUUAAACCGGUGUGAG
This 537-nucleotide ribosomal RNA is filed under the name Trigonopterus sp. 738 AR-2022a. Its description in RNAcentral is "partial large subunit ribosomal RNA". Lineage: Eukaryota; Metazoa; Arthropoda; Insecta; Coleoptera; Curculionidae. The record is from RNAcentral.